GGGGUAAAAGCUUAUUAAGCAGCUAACUGUUAACUAGCAGACAACGAUUCUUCACUCGUUUACUCCA
This 67-nucleotide transfer RNA is filed under the name Chamberlainia hainesiana. RNAcentral describes it as "tRNA-Asn". Lineage: Eukaryota; Metazoa; Mollusca; Bivalvia; Unionida; Unionidae. The record is from RNAcentral.